UCAUAACCCUAUAAAAUGGAGCUGCUACUCUCACUAUUCCAUUGACAAGAUCACUCAACAAAAGAGCAGCAACAAUGCAGAGAACUCCUCUCAACUUAUCCUUCCUUCUCAUCCUAGCAGCCAUUCUUUCAGGCUUUCUUCAUGGAGCAAGAUCAAGGGAAGUAGCAGAAAUGCAGAUUAAAACAUUGCAAAACCCUAAAGAGUCAUCAUUUUUAGAUAAAGCUAAACGUCAGUGCUCUGAGAACGCCAACUGUGUUGACAAGUGCUCUUACCUUUGCUACAUGGUACGUUGCGAAAAGGGCAAAUGCUUUUGCGUGAUGUCUCUAGGGUCAACUGUAGUUCUACCUUGUAACUAAUGUUGGUGGGUAAUCUGUGCGAAAAAUCAUUUUUUUUCUAAUUAUAAUAAAAUGGACUUUUUUAUUUCGAUCA
Long non-coding RNA from Mangifera indica (mango), 429 nucleotides. RefSeq lists it as uncharacterized. NCBI's taxonomy places the organism in Eukaryota, Viridiplantae, Streptophyta, Magnoliopsida, Sapindales, Anacardiaceae. The record is from RefSeq and is a predicted model, not a curated record. The transcript is spliced from 2 exons.